GCUUGUCUCAAAGAUUAAGCCAUGCAUGUCUAAGUAUAAACUAUUUUAUACUGUGAAACUGCGAAUGGCUCAUUAAAUCAGUUAUAGUCUACUCGAUAGUACCUUACUACUUGGAUACCCGUAGUAAUUCUAGAGCUAAUACAUGCGCAAAUACCCAACUGCUUGUCGGGCGGGUAGCAUUUAUUAGAUUGAAACCAAUGCAGCUUCGGCUGGUAUUGUGUUGAGUCAUAAUAACUGUGCGGAUCGCAUUUUAUGCGAUAAAUCGAUUGAGUUUCUGCCCUAUCAGCUUUGGAUGGUAGGAUAUGGGCCUACCAUGGCAUUAACGGGUAACGGGGAAUUAGGGUUUGAUUCCGGAGAGGGAGCCUUAGAAACGGCUACCACAUCCAAGGAAGGCAGCAGG
This 400-nucleotide ribosomal RNA is filed under the name Salilagenidium thermophilum. RNAcentral describes it as "partial small subunit ribosomal RNA". It matches the Rfam family "Eukaryotic small subunit ribosomal RNA", at positions 30 to 432 of the family's 1831-position model. The record is from RNAcentral. Lineage: Eukaryota; Oomycota; Peronosporomycetes; Pythiales; Lagenidiaceae.